CGUUCUUGAAAUUUAAAAAAUUUGGCGGUAUUUUAGUCUUUUAGAGGAACCUGCCCUAUAAUUGAUGAUCCACGAUUAAUUGUACUUAAAUUACAAGUUUGUAUAUCGUCGUAGUUGAAUACCUUAUAAGAGAUUAAGUAUUCAAUAUUUAUAAUUUAUAAAUAAAAUCAGAUCAAGAUAUAGCUUAUAUUUGAGAAGAGGUGGGUUACAAUAAAUUUAUUUUUGGUUAUUAUAAUUAAAAUUAUAGUUUAAAUUGGAUUUAAAAGUAAUAUAUUUAAGUUAAAAUAUAUGAUUUAAGCUCUGGAAUAUGCACAUAUCGCCCGUCGCUUCUAACGAAAUAUAAGUUAGAAUAAGUCGUAACAUAGUAGGUGUACCGGAAGGUGUACCUAGUUUGACAGAUUAAAGCUUUAUAAAAGUAUUUUAUUUACAUUAAAAAGAUAAUUGUGAGAAUCGAUUUAAUUUGAAUUUAAAUAUUUAUUAUAAUUAUUUAUUAAUUUAUUUUUAAAAAAGAUAUUUUUUAAUUUAUUUAUAAAUUUAGAUAAAAUUAUUUAUAAUGAUAGUUUAUUAGUAUAGUGAUAGAACAUUGAAAAAUUUGAAAAUCUAAAAUUUUUAGAAGAAAAAUUUAUUUUUUGUACCUUGUGUAUCAGGGUUUAUUAAAUAUUUAUUAUAUAUUUUUAAUUUUCUCGAAUUUAAAAGAGCUAAAAAAUUAUAUAUUUUAUUGUGAAAUAAAUAUUUAAAAUAGUUUUUUAGUAAUGAAACGUUAUUCGUUUUUAAAUUUAUCUAGUUUUUUAAGAAAUAAAUUUUAAUUUAUUUAAUUAUUUUAAUUAAGAUAAUUUUUUAUUUUAUAUUGAUAUAAUUAAUUAAUAUUUUAAGGGAUAAGCUUUAAAAUAAAAAUUUUAUAAGUUAUAAAUUAUUUAUUGUAUAAAUUAAUAGGAUUAGAAGUUUUUAUUUUUAAUAGUAUGUUAUAAUAAAUUUAUAUUUAUAUAUGAUUUUUAUAUAAUUUUAAAUUAUUUAUUAAAAUUAUUUAUUUAAUAUUAUAUUAUAUGUAAUAAUGAUAGAAUUAGUAUAAUUUAAUGUAAAUUUAAUUUAUAUAAUAUAGGUUAAGUUAAGGAAUUCGGCAAAUUUAAUUUUUCUGCCUGUUUAUUAAAAACAUGUCUUUUUGAUUAUAAUUUAAAGUCUGACCUGCCCUAUGAAAUUUUUAAAUGGCCGCGGUAUUUUGACCGUGCAAAGGUAGCAUAAUCAUUAGUUUCUUAAUUAGGAACUGGAAUGAAUGGUUGGACAAGAAAAAUACUGUCUCAAUUUAAUUUUUAUUAGAAUUUUAUUUUUAAGUUAAAAAGCUUAAAUAAUUUUAAAAGACGAGAAGACCCUAUAGAGUUUUAUAUUAAAUUUUUAAUUAAAUAUUUAAGAAUUAAAAAUUUAAUUAAAAUAUAUUAGUAUUUAAUUGGGACGAUUUAAAAAUUUAUUAAACUUUUUAUUGAUUUAUUUAA
RNAcentral lists this ribosomal RNA (1487 nucleotides) under Lepanus globulus. Its description in RNAcentral is "partial large subunit ribosomal RNA". Lineage: Eukaryota; Metazoa; Arthropoda; Insecta; Coleoptera; Scarabaeidae. The record is from RNAcentral.